ACAAAGAGCAGCAAGUUCGCGAGGACAAGCAAAUCUCAUAAACCGUGGCUCAGUUCAGAUCGUAGGCUGCAACUCGCCUACGUGAAGGAGGAAUCGCUAGUAAUCGCAGGUCAGCAUACUGCGGUGAAUACGUUCCCGGGCCUUGUACACACCGCCCGUCACACCAUGGAAGUUGGCCACGCCCGAAGCCGUUACUCCAACCCUUGUGGAGGAGGACGUCGAAGGUGGGGCUGAUGACUGGGGUGAAGUCGUAACAAGGUAGCCGUACCGGAAGGUGCGGCUGGAUCACCUCCUAA
Molecule: ribosomal RNA, 296 nt
Filed under: Synechococcus sp. RS9920
Lineage: Bacteria; Bacillati; Cyanobacteriota; Cyanophyceae; Synechococcales; Synechococcaceae
Also listed under: 1 other name
Description: partial 16S ribosomal RNA
Rfam family: Bacterial small subunit ribosomal RNA
Source: RNAcentral